UACGGAGGGUGCAAGCGUUGACCGGAUUUAUUGGGUUUAAAGGGUGCGUAGGCGGCCUGUUAAGUCAGUGGUGAAAGCCUCCAGCUCAACUGGAGAACUGCCAUUGAUACUGUCAGGCUUGAGUACAGACGAGGUAGGCGGAAUUGAUUGUGUAGCGGUGAAAUGCAUAGAUACAAUCAAGAACACCGAUUGCGUAGGCAGCUUACUAGGCUGUAACUGACGCUGAGGCACGAAAGCGUGGGGAGCGAACAGG
RNAcentral lists this ribosomal RNA (253 nucleotides) under uncultured bacterium. RNAcentral's name for it is "partial 16S ribosomal RNA". It matches the Rfam family "Bacterial small subunit ribosomal RNA", at positions 524 to 776 of the family's 1533-position model. The record is from RNAcentral.